RNAcentral lists this transfer RNA (76 nucleotides) under Gammaproteobacteria bacterium. RNAcentral's name for it is "tRNA-Asn". It matches the Rfam family "tRNA". Rfam says of the family: Transfer RNA (tRNA) molecules are approximately 80 nucleotides in length. Their secondary structure includes four short double-helical elements and three loops (D, anti-codon, and T loops). Lineage: Bacteria; Pseudomonadati; Pseudomonadota; Gammaproteobacteria. The record is from RNAcentral.
UCCUCGGUAGCUCAGCUGGUAGAGCAAGUGACUGUUAAUCAUUGGGUCGUCGGUUCGAAUCCGGCCCGGGGAGCCA